This 498-nucleotide ribosomal RNA is filed under the name uncultured bacterium. RNAcentral describes it as "bacterial SSU rRNA". It matches the Rfam family "Bacterial small subunit ribosomal RNA", at positions 29 to 518 of the family's 1533-position model. The record is from RNAcentral.
AACGAACGCUGGCGGCGCGCCUAAUACAUGCAAGUCGAGCGAGAAGGUGUAGCAAUACACUUGUAAAGCGGCGAACGGGUGAGGAAUACAUGGGUAAUCUACCAUCGAGUGGGGAAUAACCAACCGAAAGGUUGGCUAAUACCGCGUACGCCUCCGGGUCUUCGGGUUCGGAGGGAAAGCUGCACUGUGAGUGUAGCGCUCUUUGAUGAGCUCAUGUCCUAUCAGCUUGUUGGUAGGGUAACGGCCUACCAAGGCUUUGACGGGUAGCUGGUCUGAGAGGACGAUCAGCCACACUGGCACUGCGACACGGGCCAGACUCCUACGGGAGGCAGCAGUAAGGAAUAUUGCGCAAUGGGCGAAAGCCUGACGCAGCGACGCCGCGUGGGGGGAUGAAGGUCUUCGGAUUGUAAACCCCUUUUCGGGAGGGAAGAUGGAGCGAGCAAUCGUUCGGACGGUACCUCCAGAAGCAGCCACGGCCAACUUCGUGCCAGCAGCCGC